Molecule: ribosomal RNA, 171 nt
Filed under: Alphaproteobacteria bacterium RIFCSPHIGHO2_12_42_13
Lineage: Bacteria; Pseudomonadati; Pseudomonadota; Alphaproteobacteria
Description: partial 16S ribosomal RNA
Rfam family: Bacterial small subunit ribosomal RNA
Source: RNAcentral
UUGAACAUGAGAGUUUGAUCCUGGCUCAGAACGAACGCUGGCGGCAUGCUUAACACAUGCAAGUUGAACGCAGAAUAGGACUUCGGUUCUAUUGCUGAGUAGCAGACGGGUGAGUAACGCGUGGGAAUUUGCCUUCUUGUGGGGGACAACUGAGGGAAACUUUAGCUAAUA